Molecule: long non-coding RNA, 217 nt
Filed under: Homo sapiens (human)
Lineage: Eukaryota; Metazoa; Chordata; Mammalia; Primates; Hominidae
Description: HSALNT0119049
Source: RNAcentral
CUUACUAGCAGUUACUGGUUUAGGUUUUGCCAGUGAGAAACUCGUGUGUGAGACUUGGAAGGUGAACAAGAAGAAGAAGCCAUUGAUCUUCAGUGGGAGCUGCAGGCAGCUAUAUGGGCAUUGGAGAUGGCAGGACCAUAUGGACGGAACAGGAAUCUUAUGAGGGGAACACAUGUUAAGUACUGUCAGUAGAGGAUGCAGGAGAGACAUUGAGAGA